UGUUUCAGAGUAUGCGAAUGCCAGAACACCGCGGGUCUGCGAAUGGCUCAUUAAAUUCAGUUAUCACCUACCCAGUGGAGCAUUGAUGGUGACCUUGGUCAAUUCUGCAGAUGCCUUGUGGAUAACCAUUCCAACUGGAUGGCUAAUACAUGAAAGAACAAUGCCGUGUCGAGGUGCUUAUGGCAUCAAGGUCUAUUGAGUGGGGCAACCUGCUCAGCAGAUCUGUGACUGGCAUGCGGUCGAUCGCAACAAAGAGCAGCGUUUCUUAUGGAAACAGUUUGCAUCGAUGAAUCAGAUUGAUCGUGUCAAAUGGCUAAAGCAGAGUGGCUGCAAUGUGUCGCUGCGAUACUGGAUGGAUUCCUGUCCCAUCAGCUGAAGAUUGUGUUGUCUUGGACCACAAUGGCCUUGACGGGUAACGGGGAAUUUGGGUUUGAUUCCGGAGAGGGGGUCUGAAAGACGGCCACCACUGCUAAGGCAGGCAGCAGGCACGAAAAUUGCCCAUUGCAAGCACAUUUGUGAGGCAGCGACGAAGAAUGGCAACAGUGCACAUGGAUCUCCAUGAGUGUUGUUCGCAAUGGAUGACAAUCAAACUACUCAGUGAGUAUCAACUGGAGGGCAAGUCUGGUGCCAGCAGCCGCGGUAAUUCCAGCUCCAGCAGUGUAUACAAACAUUGCUGCUGUUAAAACGCUCGUAGUUGAUUGCAGAGUGGGUGGGCUUGCCAGCUAUCAGCUGGUCAGGUUCACCUAUGGGUGGCUAUACAAGCUCUGCUUGUCCCUGGCCAGUUCAACUGUCUCACUGCUCGCCUGACAUGGAAUUGGUUCCUCUCGUUGGCAUAUUCUUCAGUGAUUAUGAGAACAGCCUCCACACACAAAGCAUGUGAUCCUGGGGCUCUCGAAUUGGAGGCGUCCGUGGUGUUUACCAUGAACCAAACAGCACGCCCACGGUGGCCGACCUGUUCGGAUGAAUGACAAAGCAUGGAAUGAAAAGGGAUCGACCAAGGAGUUGUCGUUUCUKCCUGUUCUUCAGCACUCUGUGGGAAAUGCGAGGUCAGACGCAGUUCCCUCAGCAGCUUCAGCAUGGGUCAAGGCAGUGGAUGCGUGCCAGUGCCCAGUGUGCUGUCUCCAUCCACUGUGUUGAACUCUCUGUUCUGCCGGUACUGCUGUCUACCAUCGAUCGGUUGUGAUGAGCAUUCUCUGGGCCUUUCAUACCGGUUGGUUAGAGGUGAAAUUCUUGGAUCCACCUGUGAUGAACGGCAGCGAAGGCGUUAUCUUUGCAAGUGGCUGACUGUCGAUCAAGAACGAGAGUGUGGGGAUCGAAGAUGAUCAGAUACCGUCGUAGUCCAUUUCUGUAAACGAUGCCAGCUCGGUUUGGGGCAUGAUAUCUUUCAAGGACGUCAUGCUCUGAGCCUCCUUACCGAGAAAUCCACAAAGCGUUUGGGUUCAGGGGGGAGUACAUUCGCAAGAACGAAACUUGAAGGAAUUGACGGAAUGACACCACAAGGCGUGGAGUCUGCGGCUUAAUUUGACUCAACCCGGGGAAUGUUACCAGGUCAUGACGCAGCGAUGAUGGACAGAUUGAGAGCUCUUUCUUGAUCCUUUGGAUGGUGGUGCAUGGCCGUUCCUGGUUCGUGGAGUGAUCUGUCUGGUUGAUUCUGAUAACGAGCGAGAUCUCUGCCUUUUCAUAGUUGCCAGCCUCGAUCUGUAGAGCAAUCUGUUCAUCUGUGGCAUCAGCAAGGGGCAACCUGAGUUGGUGUCAAAUGGGUGUUCAGUCAUUGCUCGAGAGGCAGGAAUCACUUCUCAGAGGAUCCACAUGCGUUCAAGCAUGUGUAAGCAAGAGGCGACAGCAGGUCUGUGAUGCCCCUAGAUGUUCUGGGCUGCACGCGCACGACAAUGGUGCUGACGGCACGCCUGACCAGUUCACCUUGUGUGUCUGGUCGCCUGUGUCGACAGGCAAUGGGAACCCUUCCAACUGGCGCCGUGAUUGGAAUCGAUGUUUGCAACUGUUUGUCUUGAACGAGGAAUGCCUAGUAUGCGCAGCUCAUCAGACUGCACAGAUUGAGUCCCUGCCAUUUGUACACACCGCCCGUCGUUCCUACCGAUGGUGAGAUGAUAGAGGUUUCAGAAUCUGAUUCAUGUGUGGUGUUGAGGGCUUGCUCUCAGCAUUGCCUGAUGAGGUGAAUUUGAACCAAUGAUCUCCUGCUAGAGGAAGGAAAA
Molecule: ribosomal RNA, 2213 nt
Filed under: Anisonema sp. W1
Lineage: Eukaryota; Euglenozoa; Anisonemea; Anisonemida; Anisonematidae
Description: partial small subunit ribosomal RNA
Rfam family: Eukaryotic small subunit ribosomal RNA
Source: RNAcentral